GCGGGUGUAGCUCAGCAGGUUAGAGCGCCAGAUUGUGGAUCUGGAGGUCGUGGGUUCAAGACCCAUCACUCGCCCCA
RNAcentral lists this transfer RNA (77 nucleotides) under Alphaproteobacteria bacterium. RNAcentral's name for it is "tRNA-His". It matches the Rfam family "tRNA". From Rfam's summary of the family: Transfer RNA (tRNA) molecules are approximately 80 nucleotides in length. Their secondary structure includes four short double-helical elements and three loops (D, anti-codon, and T loops). The record is from RNAcentral. Lineage: Bacteria; Pseudomonadati; Pseudomonadota; Alphaproteobacteria.